Molecule: long non-coding RNA, 1010 nt
Filed under: Phasianus colchicus (ring-necked pheasant)
Lineage: Eukaryota; Metazoa; Chordata; Aves; Galliformes; Phasianidae
Description: lncRNA (ENSPCLG00000008121.1)
Source: RNAcentral
UGGAUUUACUUAACUUAAACAUGUUGUUAAGGAAACAAAUAGCAUAGAGCUCCUAUGGAAUUGUAACAGAGGCUUACAUGGAGAUAUGACUGAGGCUGGCACCGUACUUUUAUGGGAGUUUUGAAAUGGCUGAAGGGGUAAAGUUGUAAAAACAAAUAGCAAACAACUCCUUCCACCUGUGCCCAAAUUUCCAUGUGAGCAGAAGCACCACGAACUGCAGUGUUGUCUGUUUUUAGGUGGUAUUUAUUUGCCUGUUUUAUUGUUGUUUUUUUUUCCCAUAGUUUCCCAGUUUUUCCCAAAGUUUAAUUUGGAUGUUGGUCUGCUUUAUGAGAGUAAGUUGGGCCUGUAGCUGCUACGCUGCUUCACAGGAAAAAUAUCUAUGUAUUAUGAAAAGUGGCCGUCUUAAAUUUAUUUUCUGCAUAUUUCUGAGUAACAGUGUCUUCUUGGCAGAUAAUCUGCAGCCAACAGAUAUAGCUACUAAAUGGUCAUGGAAAUAUGAUUUGAAUUGCUCUCCAUACUGCUGAGUGCACAGGUAAUUCUGUCCUAGCUAACUCGAGAUGAUUACUGUGGUGUAUUGUUGGACACACUGGAGGAAUGCAAAGCGAAAAUUACAGCUGCUGGGCACAGAUCUGCAGCUUUCAAGAUUGCACUAACCAUCCAAGUCCUUCAUCUUCUCAGAACCAGAGAAAUCUUGUCUAUGUUCUCCAGCACAGGUAAAUAACCUUGAAAAUACUGUGGCAGUGGGUCACGUUAAACCAGUGCUAGGCCUUGUUGCUUUUUUGCUCUUCUGCUGUUCUAUAUUGUCAGAGGCAGCAGGAAAUUAACUGUAAUGACAACGUACUAGGGAAAAGUCGUGGCGAAGUUUGCCUAGUUUCAGUACUAGCUCUGAUUUUCCAACAAACUUAAAUCUGAAAUUCACUGGUUAGGCAAAGCCAACCAUCCUACUGACAAUGCUUCCUAAAGCAUAGACAAGCCAAAGCUGUGAGUUUUACACAGCUCUAGGUCUGGCU